Molecule: ribosomal RNA, 426 nt
Filed under: uncultured Gammaproteobacteria bacterium
Lineage: Bacteria; Pseudomonadati; Pseudomonadota; Gammaproteobacteria
Description: bacterial SSU rRNA
Rfam family: Bacterial small subunit ribosomal RNA
Source: RNAcentral
GGGGAAUAUUGGACAAUGGGCGAAAGCCUGAUCCAGCCAUGCCGCGUGUGUGAAGAAGGUCUUCGGAUUGUAAAGCACUUUAAGUUGGGAGGAAGGGCUGCAAGUUAAUACCUUGUAGUUUUGACGUUACCAGCAGAAUAAGCACCGGCUAACUUCGUGCCAGCAGCCGCGGUAAUACGUAGGUGGCAAGCGUUGUCCGGAAUUAUUGGGCGUAAAGCGUGCGCAGGCGGUUUGUUAAGCGAGAUGUGAAAGCCCCGGGCUCAACCUGGGAUGGUCAUUUCGAACUGGCAAGCUAGAGUCUCGUAGAGGGGGGUAGAAUUCCAGGUGUAGCGGUGAAAUGCGUAGAGAUCUGGAGGAAUACCGGUGGCGAAGGCGGCCCCCUGGACGAAGACUGACGCUCAGGCACGAAAGCGUGGGGAGCAAACC